RNAcentral lists this long non-coding RNA (638 nucleotides) under Carica papaya (papaya). RNAcentral's name for it is "long non-coding RNA (CPAP_LNC008196)". The record is from RNAcentral. Lineage: Eukaryota; Viridiplantae; Streptophyta; Magnoliopsida; Brassicales; Caricaceae.
AGACGAGCACGCGUAGGCGUAGGAAAAAGGGGAAAUCCUUUUCCCUCAAGGAUUCCUGCAAAUCCCAUCCCAAACAGGCAAGCAAUUUUAGAACUAUUUUGUUUCCUAAAUGGGAUGCUCAAAUAGGAAAGAAAAUUCUAGUUUUCUAAACGGGAACACCCCAGAUAGAAAAGUGACUUCAUCCCCAACUACUUUCCUAAAUGGGAUUACUCUAAAGAAUGGGGAAAGUUUGUUAAGAGGAAGUUUAAGGCCCAAGAGAAGUUAAUGGGCCCGAAGAAUUAUAAGGAGGCCUAACUUAAGAGAGGACCAAACCUUGGCCCAAGUCAUGGAAGCCCAAGGGAAGACCUAGAGGAGAGAAUCUGGACCUAGAGACCCACGGAUGACACAUGCCGCACAUGUGAUCAUCCUUUGGCACACGUAUAGGCACACACACGUGUGGAAGGACACAUCUGUAUAUGCGGGGACCUACAUGGCAUGAGGAAGCAUGUGGGCAUGCAGAUAGGAACUAGCCCCAUGCUGCAAAUGUGCAAACAUGUGUUCAAGUCCGCUUGGCCACAUGCACAUCCACACAUGUGUGAACUUGCAUAGCCACUUGGCCUCACAUGCUUGAGAGGGCUUAUUUGCACACUAAGUGACAC